This 253-nucleotide ribosomal RNA is filed under the name uncultured bacterium. Its description in RNAcentral is "partial 16S ribosomal RNA". It matches the Rfam family "Bacterial small subunit ribosomal RNA", at positions 524 to 776 of the family's 1533-position model. The record is from RNAcentral.
UACGUAGGGAGCGAGCGUUGUCCGGAAUCAUUGGGCGUAAAGAGCAUGUAGGUGGAUCAAUUAGUCUGCUGUGAAAGUCAAAGGCUCAACCUUUGAAAGCCGGUGGAUACUGUUGAUCUAGAGUACGGAAGAGGCGAGUGGAAUUCCUGGUGUAGCGGUGGAAUGCGCAGAUAUCAGGAGGAACACCAAUAGCGAAGGCAGCUCGCUGGGACGUUACUGACACUGAGAUGCGAAAGCGUGGGGAGCGAACAGG